CCUACGGGGGGCAGCAGUGAGGAAUAUUGGUCAAUGGACGAGAGUCUGAACCAGCCAAGUAGCGUGAAGGAUGACUGCCCUAUGGGUUGUAAACUCCUUUUAUAUGGGAAUAAAAUGUUCCACGUGUGGGAUUUUGUAUGUACCAUAUGAAUAAGGAUCGGCUAACUCCGUGCCAGCAGCCGCGGUAAUACGGAGGAUCCGAGCGUUAUCCGGAUUUAUUGGGUUUAAAGGGAGCGUAGGUGGAUUGUUAAGUCAGUUGUGAAAGUUUGCGGCUCAACCGUAAAAUUGCAGUUGAAACUGGCAGUCUUGAGUACAGUAGAGGUGGGCGGAAUUCGUGGUGUAGCGGUGAAAUGCUUAGAUAUCACGAAGAACUCCGAUUGCGAAGGCAGUUCACUGGACUGCAACUGACACUGAGGCUCGAAAGUGUGGGUAUCAAACAGGAUUAGAUACCCCAGUAGUC
RNAcentral lists this ribosomal RNA (460 nucleotides) under uncultured bacterium. RNAcentral describes it as "partial 16S ribosomal RNA". It matches the Rfam family "Bacterial small subunit ribosomal RNA", at positions 338 to 795 of the family's 1533-position model. The record is from RNAcentral.